GGUGGCUCAGUGGUAGAGUGCUUGCCUAGCAUGCAUGAGGUCCUGGGUUCGAUUCCUCAGCACCA
RNAcentral lists this transfer RNA (65 nucleotides) under Dipodomys ordii (Ord's kangaroo rat). It matches the Rfam family "tRNA". Rfam says of the family: Transfer RNA (tRNA) molecules are approximately 80 nucleotides in length. Lineage: Eukaryota; Metazoa; Chordata; Mammalia; Rodentia; Heteromyidae. The record is from Rfam by way of RNAcentral.